RNAcentral lists this ribosomal RNA (647 nucleotides) under uncultured bacterium. Its description in RNAcentral is "bacterial SSU rRNA". It matches the Rfam family "Bacterial small subunit ribosomal RNA", at positions 56 to 749 of the family's 1533-position model. The record is from RNAcentral.
UGCAGUCGAACGAAGUAGCAAUACUUAGUGGCAGACGGGUGAGUAACAUGUGGGUAUCUACCCUUUGGCCUGGAAUAACACGAGGAAACUUGUGCUAAUACCGGAUAAGUCUUUACGGAGAAAGCUUUAUGCACCAUUGGAUGAGCCCGCACUUGAUUAGUUUGUUGGUAGGGUAAUGGCCUACCAAGACUAUGAUCAAUAGCUGAUUUGAGAGGAUGAUCAGCCACAUUGGGACUGAGACACGGCCCAAACUCCUACGGGAGGCAGCAGUGGGGAAUCUUGCACAAUGGAGGAAACUCUGAUGCAGCGAUGCCGCGUGAGUGAAGAAGGCCCUUGGGUUGUAAAGCUCUUUCGUCGGGGAAGAAAAUGACUGUACCCGAAUAAGAAGGUCCGGCUAACUUCGUGCCAGCAGCCGCGGUAAUACGAAGGGACCUAGCGUAGUUCGGAAUUACUGGGCUUAAAGAGUUCGUAGGUGGUUGAAAAAGUUGGUGGUGAAAUCCCAGAGCUUAACUCUGGAACUGCCAUCAAAACUUUUCAGCUAGAGUAUGAUAGAGGAAAGCAGAAUUUCUAGUGUAGAGGUGAAAUUCGUAGAUAUUAGAAAGAAUACCAAUUGCGAAGGCAGCUUUCUGGAUCAUUACUGACACUGA